CUGGCAGUAAACGGUGCGCGUUUGGUGUGGGAGGAUUCGACCCCUUCUGUGCCGGAGCUAACGCGUUAAACGCGCCGCCUGGGGAGUACGGUCGCAAGAUUAAAACUCAAAGAAAUUGACGGGGGCCCGCACAAGCGGUGGAGUAUGUGGCUUAAUUCGAUGCAACGCGAAGAACCUUACCUAGCCUUGACAUGCAUCUCUAAGUCGGUGAAAGCCGGCGACUGUAGCAAUACAGAAUUUGCACAGGUGC
RNAcentral lists this ribosomal RNA (250 nucleotides) under uncultured bacterium. Its description in RNAcentral is "partial 16S ribosomal RNA". It matches the Rfam family "Bacterial small subunit ribosomal RNA", at positions 796 to 1041 of the family's 1533-position model. The record is from RNAcentral.